UACGUAGGUCCCGAGCGUUGUCCGGAUUUAUUGGGCGUAAAGCGAGCGCAGGUGGUUUAUUAAGUCUGGUGUAAAAGGCAGUGGCUCAACCAUUGUAUGCAUCGGAAACUGGUAGACUUGAGUGCAGGAGAGGAGAGUGGAAUUCCAUGUGUAGCGGUGAAAUGCGUAGAUAUAUGGAGGAACACCGGUGGCGAAAGCGGCUCUCUGGCCUGUAGCUGACACUGAGGCUCGAAAGCGUGGGGAGCAAACAGG
This 252-nucleotide ribosomal RNA is filed under the name uncultured bacterium. RNAcentral describes it as "partial 16S ribosomal RNA". It matches the Rfam family "Bacterial small subunit ribosomal RNA", at positions 524 to 776 of the family's 1533-position model. The record is from RNAcentral.